RNAcentral lists this ribosomal RNA (2930 nucleotides) under Bacillus velezensis. RNAcentral's name for it is "23S ribosomal RNA". It matches the Rfam family "Bacterial large subunit ribosomal RNA". Lineage: Bacteria; Bacillati; Bacillota; Bacilli; Caryophanales; Bacillaceae. The record is from RNAcentral.
CGGUUAAGUUAGAAAGGGCGCACGGUGGAUGCCUUGGCACUAGGAGCCGAUGAAGGACGGGACGAACACCGAUAUGCUUCGGGGAGCUGUAAGCAAGCUUUGAUCCGGAGAUUUCCGAAUGGGGAAACCCACCACUCGUAAUGGAGUGGUAUCCAUAUCUGAAUACAUAGGAUAUGAGAAGGCAGACCCGGGGAACUGAAACAUCUAAGUACCCGGAGGAAGAGAAAGCAAAUGCGAUUCCCUGAGUAGCGGCGAGCGAAACGGGACCAGCCCAAACCAAGAGGCUUGCCUCUUGGGGUUGUAGGACACUCUGUACGGAGUUACAAAGGAACGAGGUAGAUGAAGAGGUCUGGAAAGGCCCGCCAUAGAAGGUAACAGCCCUGUAGUCAAAACUUCGUUCUCUCCUGAGUGGAUCCUGAGUACGGCGGAACACGUGAAAUUCCGUCGGAAUCCGGGAGGACCAUCUCCCAAGGCUAAAUACUCCCUAGUGACCGAUAGUGAACCAGUACCGUGAGGGAAAGGUGAAAAGCACCCCGGAAGGGGAGUGAAAGAGAUCCUGAAACCGUGUGCCUACAAGUAGUCAGAGCCCGUUAACGGGUGAUGGCGUGCCUUUUGUAGAAUGAACCGGCGAGUUACGAUCCCGUGCAAGGUUAAGCAGAAGAUGCGGAGCCGCAGCGAAAGCGAGUCUGAAUAGGGCGAAUUGAGUACGUGGUCGUAGACCCGAAACCAGGUGAUCUACCCAUGUCCAGGGUGAAGUUCAGGUAACACUGAAUGGAGGCCCGAACCCACGCACGUUGAAAAGUGCGGGGAUGAGGUGUGGGUAGGGGUGAAAUGCCAAUCGAACCUGGAGAUAGCUGGUUCUCUCCGAAAUAGCUUUAGGGCUAGCCUCAAGGUAAGAGUCUCGGAGGUAGAGCACUGAUUGGACUAGGGGCCCCUACCGGGUUACCGAAUUCAGUCAAACUCCGAAUGCCGAUGACUUAUCCUUGGGAGUCAGACUGCGAGUGAUAAGAUCCGUAGUCGAAAGGGAAACAGCCCAGACCGCCAGCUAAGGUCCCAAAGUAUACGUUAAGUGGAAAAGGAUGUGGAGUUGCUUAGACAACCAGGAUGUUGGCUUAGAAGCAGCCACCAUUUAAAGAGUGCGUAAUAGCUCACUGGUCGAGUGACUCUGCGCCGAAAAUGUACCGGGGCUAAACGUAUCACCGAAGCUGCGGACUGUUCUUCGAACAGUGGUAGGAGAGCGUUCUAAGGGCUGUGAAGCAAGACCGGAAGGACUUGUGGAGCGCUUAGAAGUGAGAAUGCCGGUAUGAGUAGCGAAAGAGGGGUGAGAAUCCCCUCCACCGAAUGCCUAAGGUUUCCUGAGGAAGGCUCGUCCGCUCAGGGUUAGUCGGGACCUAAGCCGAGGCCGAAAGGCGUAGGCGAUGGAUAACAGGUUGAUAUUCCUGUACCACCUCCUCACCAUUUGAGCAAUGGGGGGACGCAGGAGGAUAGGGUAAGCGCGGUAUUGGAUAUCCGCGUCCAAGCAGUUAGGCUGGGAAAUAGGCAAAUCCGUUUCCCGUGAAGGCUGAGCUGUGAUGGCGAGCGAAUUAUAGUAGCGAAGUUCCUGAUUCCACACUGCCAAGAAAAGCCUCUAGCGAGGUGAGAGGUGCCCGUACCGCAAACCGACACAGGUAGGCGAGGAGAGAAUCCUAAGGUGAUCGAGAGAACUCUCGUUAAGGAACUCGGCAAAAUGACCCCGUAACUUCGGGAGAAGGGGUGCUCUGUUAGGGUGCAAGCCCGAGAGAGCCGCAGUGAAUAGGCCCAGGCGACUGUUUAGCAAAAACACAGGUCUCUGCGAAGCCGUAAGGCGAAGUAUAGGGGCUGACGCCUGCCCGGUGCUGGAAGGUUAAGAGGAGCGCUUAGCGUAAGCGAAGGUGCGAAUUGAAGCCCCAGUAAACGGCGGCCGUAACUAUAACGGUCCUAAGGUAGCGAAAUUCCUUGUCGGGUAAGUUCCGACCCGCACGAAAGGCGCAACGAUCUGGGCACUGUCUCAACGAGAGACUCGGUGAAAUUAUAGUACCUGUGAAGAUGCAGGUUACCCGCGACAGGACGAAAAGACCCCGUGGAGCUUUACUGCAGCCUGAUAUUGAAUGUUGGUACAGCUUGUACAGGAUAGGUAGGAGCCUUGGAAACCGGAGCGCCAGCUUCGGUGGAGGCAUCGGUGGGAUACUACCCUGGCUGUAUUGACCUUCUAACCCGCCGCCCUUAUCGGGCGGGGAGACAGUGUCAGGUGGGCAGUUUGACUGGGGCGGUCGCCUCCUAAAAGGUAACGGAGGCGCCCAAAGGUUCCCUCAGAAUGGUUGGAAAUCAUUCGCAGAGUGUAAAGGCACAAGGGAGCUUGACUGCGAGACCUACAAGUCGAGCAGGGACGAAAGUCGGGCUUAGUGAUCCGGUGGUUCCGCAUGGAAGGGCCAUCGCUCAACGGAUAAAAGCUACCCCGGGAUAACAGGCUUAUCUCCCCAAGAGUCCACAUCGACGGGGAGUUUGGCACCUCGAUGUCGGCUCAUCGCAUCCUGGGGCUGUAGUCGGUCCCAAGGGUUGGGCUGUUCGCCCAUUAAAGCGGUACGCGAGCUGGGUUCAGAACGUCGUGAGACAGUUCGGUCCCUAUCCGUCGCGGGCGCAGGAAAUUUGAGAGGAGCUGUCCUUAGUACGAGAGGACCGGGAUGGACGCACCGCUGGUGUACCAGUUGUUCUGCCAAGGGCAUCGCUGGGUAGCUAUGUGCGGACGGGAUAAGUGCUGAAAGCAUCUAAGCAUGAAGCCCCCCUCAAGAUGAGAUUUCCCAUUCCGCAAGGAAGUAAGAUCCCUGAAGAUGAUCAGGUUGAUAGGUCUGAGGUGGAAGUGUGGCGACACAUGGAGCUGACAGAUACUAAUCGAUCGAGGACUUAACCAAUUU